RNAcentral lists this long non-coding RNA (508 nucleotides) under Rattus norvegicus (Norway rat). Its description in RNAcentral is "long non-coding RNA NONRATT027120". The record is from RNAcentral. Lineage: Eukaryota; Metazoa; Chordata; Mammalia; Rodentia; Muridae.
GGGGGUUUUAUUAUUAUUUUGGGUUUUCUGUGGUUCCCACCCCCUUUAUUUUCAAAGUUCCAUCUGGCUCCUGACAAAGUCUUUGGUCUGUAGUAGUAGCAAGGCUUAGGCAUGACUAUUAAAUUAGAGUUCUCUGGCUGGAUAGAAGGAGCCUAAUUAGGCCUAUCAAAAGCUGGGUCUUUAGUUUUCCCUUAUACUAGUCUGUUUGCUGUAGAUACAAAGAAGCCACUUCCAUGAACAUUUACUCAGGGGUUUGCUCUCUGUAUAAUGCCAUUCUGUUAAAUCUGCUUUGCCCAGUAUCGUUGCAGUAGUGUGGUUGGAAUUAUCCCUCCCUUUACCCAUCAUUUGGCCAUAGACAUGGUGUCUGGUUUAAGAACUUGAUCUGAAUAUAUUCUUCUAGAGCUUUCCAUUCCUGCUCUAAAAUACAUGCAAAUAGCCUUGGAUACUUGGCCUCCUGUGAACUGAACAUGUCUGACCCAGAAUGUUUACAUUUAUAAGGAUUGUUUUA